UGAAAGCUAGGAAAGAGGCUGCCAGA
Molecule: non-coding RNA, 26 nt
Filed under: Rattus norvegicus (Norway rat)
Lineage: Eukaryota; Metazoa; Chordata; Mammalia; Rodentia; Muridae
Source: RNAcentral